RNAcentral lists this non-coding RNA (45 nucleotides) under Schistosoma haematobium. Lineage: Eukaryota; Metazoa; Platyhelminthes; Trematoda; Strigeidida; Schistosomatidae. The record is from RNAcentral.
AUUCAGAUGAUGAGUCCCAAAUAGGAUGAAACGGGCGUCCUGGAU